GUGGGCUGUGGGAGACCAGAGCUUGAGGGGUUUAUAGGGAAAGGCCCUGGACAGCCACAGGCUGGGCUCCCUGGUACCACCUCAGGGCUCAGGGCAAGCCCAGCUGUUAGUCAGGGCACAGUACCAGCCAGCUGCUCCCUGAAGGGCACCAGGGCCCUUAUCAGAAAAGGCCUGCCCAGCAGUGCCCCCAACAAGGCAACAGGUUCUGCUGGGAGCCUGGAUUUCCAGGAAUUUGGGAUAAGAACUGAGAAGGCACCUGCAGAGGAAACAGGUUGGAGGACUCAAUGAACCACCAGCAUGCUGCAGACAUUACACGUGCAAAACUGAUCUUAACAAAAAUAUAUGAGAGAACACUACACAGAACAAGAGCAGAAAUAGAUCCACAUGCAGGAAAACAGGAGAUACAGAGAAGCCAUUUGAUGCACACGGAUGGAACAUUCAGAACUGUUUAGGGGUGGAGAAGAAUAGGACCAACAGCAUCCUUCCCCAGAAGUAUAUUUUAUAUUAAAAAACAUCACUUUCAUUAAUUUGGGGAAUAAAUUCCUCUCUGAGGAAUUUUAUU
Non-coding RNA from Cyanistes caeruleus (blue tit), 562 nucleotides. The record is from RefSeq and is a predicted model, not a curated record. Lineage: Eukaryota; Metazoa; Chordata; Aves; Passeriformes; Paridae.